CUUAGCUAUGAGCUCACAUUUGCCAAUGUAGUGUUCCAGACAGUUUUAUCAUCCACAUUGCUGACCUGGAAGAUGCAUCAUUGUCUAUGAUAUCUGCAAUGGAAAUGAUCACUAGGCAAUUUCAGCCUUGCAAAUCUAACAUCCAGAUACCAACCUCACCAUCGUCUGACUACUAUGUCCCUGGUGCACAAUGCCUGCCUUCACUACAGCCUUUCACACAAAGCAUUUACCCUGUUGCUUAAUUGUCUGAUCGUCCCACUCCCUUGGAUGAGAACUGCAUCUCUUCCAUCUCUUAUUCUGAGUGGCUUGGCUAAGACAUUCACUGACUCCAUGGGGAAACUUCACCUACAGAGGAAAGAGCCAUCCUCCUGUGGGCAGGUGAUGUGUCCUUGUUCUUUCCCUGACGUGCCCAGUCCUCUUGCAAGUGACUUGAAAGGAUGCACCAGCCUGGCUGCAGGCAGAGGUGUGAAGAAGGUCCUUGCUUCCCCUUCACCUUCUGCCAUGAUUCUAAGUUUCCUGACGCCUCCCAGCCGUGCUUCCUGUUAAGCCUGUGAAACUCCUUUGGAAUGAGUACACAUCCAGGAGUGAAGAAGACAAGCUCAACUGCCAUUCUCUGAGCAGUUCAAGGCAUACUGAGUUGCGGGAGUUGUGUGGUGGUCCACUCUGACUGCAAGCACCCCUUUCUUGAACCGAACAGAGUCAAGUGGAAUCAAAGGACAUUACCUGUUGAUUCUUGGGCAAGGCCCAGAAUUUGGUGGACAUACUUAAAGAAGAAAGGAAUCUUCAGCUAAAGUGUCUACGAUCAAUUCAGAUUUGGAGGGCAUGGAUCUUCUGACAGUAGGGGCCAUUCUAGGAUUUUUUGGUUGAAGAGAUGAACUUCAACUUGGUUCCAGAUGGGUGGUCCAGCUAUUCUGCUGACAACAUUUUUCAGGGCAAGGCUUUUGCUACUGGAAUGAUUUAAGGAAGAUCCCUCAGUGUUUCAGAGUAAAGAUAUUUCUAAAGAAGUACCUGUGUCAUUGCCCAUCUUGAAGAUUGACUUUUAUGGAUUGCUCAAAUACUGAUAUCAGCUCAAUGUCAAUAUAUACUCCUACAUAUAAAAUCCAUCUUCUAAUCAUAAUCACUAGGUUUUAACCAUUUAAGGCCAUGAGGUGUGAGGUCUUUUGAGAGUGAAAGAACUCAUAUUAAUCCAGCUCCUGACUCCUAAAAAAACAGUAACUCUUGUAAUUAAAAUGGGCAGAGUCCAUCAAGAAGCAGUGUCCAGAAGCACUGGGCCAUGUGGCGAGCAGCAGUGUCACCAGGAAACAUGCCGAGCUGGGUCAGGAACUGCGCAAGGAGGAGGAGACACUGCUCCUGUUGAAGGCAGCCCUCGCAUGACCUGCUGAAUCACAUCAAGGUUGAAGCAUUGGCCCUCCAAUCAAUGAUUAGUUCUGGGAGAGGGGAUGAGGUGCUGUCUUCUCCAACUUCUCCAACUGUGCCUGAACAGUCACACGUCAUGUCAGUGCAUAUAGAGAAUGAAGCAUCAGUCAACCAAACUACGCUGGAGUGGAGCAUAGAGUCCUGUGACAGAAGAGGAGGAGGAAGAGAAAGAAGAAUCAGAUCCCUAAAGGAGGGAAAAAGCCAGGAUUCAUUAUACAAAUUAAAUUUCUAAGUCUCAGGCUCUUUCUCCCCAAGGAAAUCAUCUUGCCAUGAGCCCUAGGGCCUGCUUGAAUGGAGAGCAAGAACUAUAGGAGGAUGUGUAGCUGCAAAAAUUUCUCAUCAAUAACUCAAUCUUCAGAACGUUAUGACAUACAGAAAAUCAAAGAUGCUGUGUCUUAGCAUUGAGCAAUAUGGGUGGUGCUAUGUCUGUAGUCUGGUCAAAUUCAGUAACUGUGUUCAAAACAAAAUUUCCUCUGGAAUACUAUUGAGAAAAUCUGGCAUUUGCAAAAAGGGCAGAGUUUAAAUAUGAGCCAGUCUUUCCAAUCAACAAUACCUCUUUUAAGAAAACCAACUAACAGCUGUUUGCAUGCCGUUGAAUCCUUGUGAGCAGUUAGGCCACAGUCUAGGACAGAAAGAUGACACGGGGAAGGACUGAGGGCCAUCUGAGAACAAAAGUUGUUGCUACUUCUCAGAGGCAUUGAGACACACUGCAUGCUGUAGACUGCUUUGUGUAACUGUUGUCACAUCUUGCUUGAGAUGUCAUUGGCAGAAUGUUCUUAAAAAUAAAUUAUAGAUAAAUAGCCA
Molecule: long non-coding RNA, 2220 nt
Filed under: Homo sapiens (human)
Lineage: Eukaryota; Metazoa; Chordata; Mammalia; Primates; Hominidae
Description: PREDICTED lncRNA (TCONS_00228835)
Source: RNAcentral